Molecule: ribosomal RNA, 409 nt
Filed under: uncultured bacterium
Lineage: Bacteria
Description: bacterial SSU rRNA
Rfam family: Bacterial small subunit ribosomal RNA
Source: RNAcentral
AUUGAACGCUGGCGGCAUGCUUAACACAUGCAGGUCGAACGCGAAAGUCCUUCGGGGCGAGUAGAGUGGCGGACGGGUGAGUAACGCGUGGGAAUCUACCCUAGAGCGGGGGACAACCCGGGGAAACCCGGGCUAAUACCGCAUACGUCCUACGGGAGAAAGAGGGCCUCUGCUUGCACGCUCUCACUCCAGGAUGAGCCCACGUCCGAUUAGCUAGUUGGUAGGGUAAAGGCCUACCAAGGCCACGAUCGGUAGCUGGUCUGAGAGGAUGAUCAGCCACACUGGGACUGAGACACGGCCCAGACUCCUACGGGAGGCAGCAGUGGGGAAUAUUGGACAAUGGGCGCAAGCCUGAUCCAGCAAUGCCGCGUGUGUGAAGAAGGCCUGCGGGUUGGUAAAGCACUUUCAG